This 340-nucleotide small nuclear RNA is filed under the name Chinchilla lanigera (long-tailed chinchilla). RNAcentral describes it as "7SK RNA (ENSCLAG00000021920.1)". It matches the Rfam family "7SK RNA". Rfam says of the family: 7SK was discovered as an abundant small nuclear RNA in the mid-70s but a possible function has only recently been suggested. Lineage: Eukaryota; Metazoa; Chordata; Mammalia; Rodentia; Chinchillidae. The record is from RNAcentral.
GGUGGUGAGGGCUAUCUUCUGUGGCACCUGUCGCCCCACUGAUCGCCAGGGUUGAUUUGGCUGACCUGGCUGGCUUGGCGGCUGUCCCCUCCCUCCACUGUGCCAUGUUCCUCCCUCCGAAAACAGUAUGCAAAGCUUUCUGCUCAGCCGAAGGCAGCCACCUCAGAAAGGGAAGGUCCGUUGGUUUCCUCGGGCGAGGGUAUAGGAGUAACUAUGCUCCCCUGCUACAACCUGCUAAUAACCUCUCAAAAUAAACAAUUAACCUGUAAAAUAUAACUAUAAAAGUGAGGCAAUAAAGGAGACGUAGCACUCCCAGAUUUUAUACCUUAAUAUAAUGUCU